Molecule: ribosomal RNA, 253 nt
Filed under: uncultured bacterium
Lineage: Bacteria
Description: partial 16S ribosomal RNA
Rfam family: Bacterial small subunit ribosomal RNA
Source: RNAcentral
UACGAAGGGGGCUAGCGUUGUUCGUAAUUACUGGGCGUAAAGGGCGCGUAGGCUGUGCUGUAAGUCAGGCGUGAAAGCCCCGGGCUCAACCUGGGAAUUGCGCUUGAUACUGCGGCGCUGGAAGGUGGGAGAGGAUGGCGGAAUUCCCAGUGUAGAGGUGAAAUUCGUAGAUAUUGGGAAGAACACCGGUGGCGAAGGCGGCCAUCUGGACCGCAACUGACGCUGAGGCGCGAAAGCGUGGGGAGCAAACAGG